RNAcentral lists this long non-coding RNA (260 nucleotides) under Homo sapiens (human). RNAcentral describes it as "non-protein coding lnc-RALGPS2-4:1". The record is from RNAcentral. Lineage: Eukaryota; Metazoa; Chordata; Mammalia; Primates; Hominidae.
AGAGUUGCCUGCCUUUGGACAGACUUCAGUUUGUCAGUGACCUGCUUACCAGGUUCCCAGAACACAACCUACUAUUGUAGAUGAGAUUGACCAUGGCAGGCCACAGAGGCUUUCUAAUGAGCCUGGAUCCCAAUGUAUUGCUAUUAUGUCUGAACUUGAAACUGUACUGGAAUUUUGAUCACCCCAAUUCCAACAACUAUCACCAGAAAACUACCUAUUUUACGAAUCAUUUGGGAACACAAACCCUAAACACCCAGGAG